UACGGAGGGUGCAAGCGUUAUCCGGAUUCACUGGGUUUAAAGGGUGCGUAGGCGGGUGUGUAAGUCAGUGGUGAAAUCCUGGAGCUUAACUUCAGAACUGCCGUUGAUACUAUACAUCUUGAAUACCGGGGAGGUGAGCGGAAUAUGUCAUGUAGCGGUGAAAUGCUUAGAUAUGACAUAGAACACCGAUUGCGAAGGCAGCUGGCUACACGAAUAUUGACACUGAUGCACGAAAGCGUGGGGAUCAAACAGG
RNAcentral lists this ribosomal RNA (253 nucleotides) under uncultured bacterium. RNAcentral's name for it is "partial 16S ribosomal RNA". It matches the Rfam family "Bacterial small subunit ribosomal RNA", at positions 524 to 776 of the family's 1533-position model. The record is from RNAcentral.